AAACUGGAAGCAUAUUACCUGAUCUACAUUGCCAGCAUGAUCGUUUCCUAAAAAAAACAGGGAGAAAAGUCAGAAUGAUCAUGACAAAAACAACAGUUUGUGGCUCUGCCGCUGGAUCAGGAGAACGGAUUUUCUUUUGGGGGCGAAUGUCCCAAAGUGGCACUCCAUCCAGAGGGGACCCUACUCUACCUCUUUUAGGUGGUCUUUCUCCCUGCCCUGCCCAGGCCCGCCGGCUCUCUCAGACCCACCGGCCAGCUCAGAGCCCGUCAUGGUGACUGCGGAGCACCCUGUCACGAGCUCUCUGGGGGAAAGGAGUGUGAGGCACGAGCUCCUGAGCGCACAAAAAAACUCUGGGGAAGAGCCCCCGAGCCCAGCAGACGUACCCUUCAUGGUUCGGCUACAACAUCAACAAACAGGGCAGCGGAGACAGGAUCAAUGAGGCUGACAAUCCAGAAUCAGUCAGCGAUCACUUUGGAAUUUGAAAACACCAUAAAGCAGAUUUAAUGGAAAUCUCUUGUUUUACCUCAGUGAAUAGAGAUGGCGAUAUAAUAUUUGUUUUUUGUUAUACCUAGACCAGAAUUAGUCUAGAAAAUCAGUAUAAGAAUAAUUUGUAUAAUUACACUGCACUAAAAUAAUUAAUUACAUGCAUCCCCUAAGGCUUGUAACACAAGGCAGAAAGGACACAGAGAGAAAGGAAAAUGACAUUUUUAAUACAAAGGACCCAGUAUCUGAAUUGGCUCUCUUGGUACUUUGACCUCACAGGAGUACAAGGCUUAAAAAUACAUACUAGAUCUCUCCAGCACACACAAGAAAAAUGAUAAAUAGACAUCACUUCUAAGGCAACACAUUUCCACUAUUUAUUUUUACUAUUUAUACAAUGGUUCACAGGAAUUUCCAUCCUAAAACAAAGUGCAUUAUAAAUAUCAUAAAUGGCUAUUUUAAAAUUUUCUGUGAGAAUCCAAGAAUUUAAACAUAGUCAGGCAUUAAAAGGUCAAGUAGCUUCAUAAUUUGGUGUUAACAGCAUUGUAACAUGGAGAAAUAACUUUAGUGGAACUGCCUACAAAGAAGAAAAGAUUAGACUGCCAGUGGUGAUUUGUUGCCUCUGAUUGCCUGCCUCAUUACUGAAAAGGGCUGAAUUCAAACCUUUGCCUGCACACAUGACAGGCCAGUGGUGUGAGCUGUAGGACAGGCAGGCUUGAAGACCUGACCGAGGUGUUAACUUCCAGCGCAGUGUGCUUGAGUAUAGUAAAGGAUGUGACUGCUGCACGAGAUGACUGCAGCUGUUUAUUAAAUAAAAAUGUCAAAUGAUUCCCACAGCUGCGUGUAAAGGGGAGAAACGCAAAGUAUUAGUGAAAAUGUUGGGAUUUUUCCCAGAUUUCUGCCUUCUUUUGCUCCCUGUACAGUAAGGCUUUAUGCACGCUGCUGUGAAGCCACGAACCAAUUGUACUUCUCAUCGGCUUUCCCUGAGCCAAAAUAAAGCUGGAAUAAUGCUCCUACUCCAUCACGCUAAGCCUUAUUGGCUCAACAUAAGAAACAAUGAAACUUCAUCUGAGACCAGAUUAGGUUGGUUAAAAAAUUGAGGGAUUGUUUUUCUUUCAGUCUCCAUUAUCUUUCCUAUAGCAUCUUGAUCAGCUUCCUUACAUACUGUCACUAAUUCUGUGAAGACCUGUAAACUGCUUUUUUGGCUGCCAAAUUGCCGUAACCCUCUUAUUUUAUGUUCUAAAAGAGCUUAAGUCUGUCCAUCCUCUUUGGAUGUGCCUUUUUAAAUUGGCCGAUACUGGGAGGAUUUUAGAUAUAUCUAAAGGCUUAGAAGAAGAUGUAGUUGCCACUGAGCCUCCAGUUGUAUAGUCAACAAGCAUGAAAAGCCUAUAAGGAUAAAAAGAACAAGACCAUUUUUAUCUAAUACAUACAAAUCCACAUAAAUACUCAAUGUAUUAGAGAAAAAAACUAUACACUUCCUUUCCCCCCCUCAAAUGGAGCCAGAUCAAGCCAUCCACACAUUUGACUCGUGUAUUUAGUCACAGUGUUGUUCUCUUCACUCUUUUUCUAUUUAAAUCAUGUUCAUAUAAAGGCCUCCUGAUGAUAUCUUGCAGGAGAUGAAAAAAGGGACGAUACUCCCACUUUCCUUUCAGAUUUUCAGCCCAAGUCAGAUUAUUAUUUGUCUUCUGGUAAUGUUUGAAAACUAAGUCAAUUUUAUUUUACAUAACUUCAAAUUUCUUGGUUUUUUAAAGAAUACCAAGAUUAUUUUCAGAAAUAAUCAUUCAACCCCAGCUAUAAUUUUGCUUUCAACUUAGUCUAUUAUGAGGGAGAAGGCAAACUGGAAACCAGAUUUUAAGAUGUUUUUUAAAUGUACUUUGUGCAACAUUAUUGGACACAGUUAUUAAUAGUGUCUGUUAAUUCUUGAAAUAAAUGAAAAAAGUUCACCUAUAAUAAAGGAUUUCUUUUUCUGUGCGAUAAUUAUAAACAUGAUUAGUAUCAAAAUAGUGGAGAUGAAGGGACAUUUGAUGCUCUUGAAAUCAAUAGUUUAUAGUUUGGAUUAUGGAUUACCGAUGCAAAAUACUUUAACUCUCACUAAUGUCCCCACCAUCAGGAAUGUUCACACAUAAGGGUUACUGUUAUUAAUCUA
This is a non-coding RNA of Lepisosteus oculatus (spotted gar), 2626 nucleotides long. The record is from RefSeq and is a predicted model, not a curated record. NCBI's taxonomy places the organism in Eukaryota, Metazoa, Chordata, Actinopteri, Semionotiformes, Lepisosteidae.